RNAcentral lists this ribosomal RNA (117 nucleotides) under Castor canadensis (American beaver). Lineage: Eukaryota; Metazoa; Chordata; Mammalia; Rodentia; Castoridae. The record is from RNAcentral.
GUAUAUACCAAUUCUACCCGGAUGCUCCCUGUCUCAUUGGAUCUUGGAAACCAAGCAAGGUCAGCCUGGCUUGUACUUGUAUGGGACACUGCCUGGGAAUACUGGAUGCUACAGGCU